This 743-nucleotide ribosomal RNA is filed under the name uncultured bacterium. Its description in RNAcentral is "bacterial SSU rRNA". It matches the Rfam family "Bacterial small subunit ribosomal RNA", at positions 13 to 737 of the family's 1533-position model. The record is from RNAcentral.
UGGAUCAUGGCUCAGAAUCAACGCUGGCGGCGUGCCUCGGACAUGCAAGUCGAACGCGAAAGUCCCCUUCGGGGGGCGAGUAAAGGGGGCGCACGGGUCAGUAACACGUAGGUGAUCUACCUACGGCUGGGGAAUAACAACCGGAAACGGUUGCUAAUACCGCAUAAUGCAGCGGCACCUAAUGGUGACAGUUGUUAAAGCGGGGGAUCGUAAGCCCUCGCGUCUGAAGAGGAGCCUCCGACAGAUUAGCUAGUUGGUAAGGUAAUGCCUUCGCAAGGCGAUCAUCUGUACCCGGCCUGAGAGAGGCGGUCGGCCACACUGACACUGACAUACGGGUCAGACUCCAUACGGGAGGCAGCAGUCGGGAAUUUUGGGCAAUGGGCGAAAAGCCUGAACAGCAAUGCCGCGUCAAGGACGAAAUCCUUCGCGGAUGUAAAUCGCAAGAACGGGAAGAAUAAGUAAGAGCUAACAUCUCUAACGAUGACGGUACUGUUUGUAAGCUCCGGCUCACUCCGUGCCAGCAGCCGCGGUAAUACGGGGGGAGCAAGCGUUGUUCGGAUUUACUGGGCGUAAAGGGCGCGUAGGCGGCCACCGCAAGUCAGUUAUGAAAUCUCUGGGCUUAACCCAGAAAGGUCCAGUCUACUGGCAGCAAGCGUGCCGAGGGGCAACUGGAAUUCACGGAGUACCGGUGUAAUGCAUAGAUAUCGAGAGGAACACCUGCGGCGAAUGCGGGUUGCUGGGCU